This 77-nucleotide transfer RNA is filed under the name Yarrowia lipolytica. RNAcentral's name for it is "tRNA-Ala". Lineage: Eukaryota; Fungi; Ascomycota; Dipodascomycetes; Dipodascales. The record is from RNAcentral.
GGGCGUCUGGUGUAGUUGGUUAUCCACAUGCGCUUUAGCAUGCGCGCGGGUCCCCCGGUUCGAUUCCGGUCCGUCCA